This 794-nucleotide long non-coding RNA is filed under the name Homo sapiens (human). RNAcentral describes it as "non-protein coding lnc-EBF3-4:3". Lineage: Eukaryota; Metazoa; Chordata; Mammalia; Primates; Hominidae. The record is from RNAcentral.
CUCUGAACUUUGGAGGGAUCCCAGCAUUCAAACCAUAGCAGGCGCCUCUGGGAUUACUGUGGACCGAGUUCUUCUCAGGUGUGCCUGAGGCGGCUGUGUCUCCUACUCUGCGAACCAUCUGGUUGUGCUGUCUAAGGAGGCCCCUGAGAAGGCCCACCUUCACCGCUUGUGUUUUCAUUUUCUCCUCUACACCAGGAGAAGUCUGCUGAGCCAUGGUCUGGAAGAUGUCAACCACAGAGGACUCCUGGGCUGUUCUAGGGAGUUGGGCUGUUGUCCUGAGGGCAAUGGAGAGCCACUGACCCAUUUGACGGAAGAGAAUGACCAGAGCAGAUUUGCACCUGUGGAAGAUCUCCCUGGCACAGUGGGGAGCACGGGCUAGAGGGGACAAGGCCAGGGGAUAAACCAGGAGUUGGCAUGAAGGUAAUAAAUUGAGAGAUGGCACUGGGCUGGAUCAGAGUAGCAGUGGCAGGGCUGGAGAAACGUGGAGAGACCAGAGAGAGACUUAGUACCUGGAAGUGACAGCAGUGGUGGUUGUGGACUGAAUGCAGGGGGUGAGUUGAGGAAGGGCUCAGGGGCGACUGCCAGGUCCUGGCUCAGAGAAGCCCCGCAGGACACAGGAAGGAGGGAGUCUUGGGCGGGUGUUGUGGUGGAGAGAUGGCUCUGGGUGGGAACAUCCUGUCUGAGGCUCCUGGUCAAGGGGAGAUGUCCAGAGGCAGCUAGGCCUGGGGCUUCGGGGAGAGAACUGAUUUAGAAUCCAGCAGCCUGCAGAUGUGAACUUCAGCCUGGGGUGUGAG